UACAGAGGGUGCGAGCGUUAAUCGGAAUUACUGGGCGUAAAGCGUGCGUAGACGGUUAUUUAAGUCGGAUGUGAAAGCCCCGGGCUCAACCUGGGAAUUGCAUUCGAGACGGAAUAGCUAGGGUGCGGUAGAGGGAAGCGGAAUUUCCGGUGUAGCGGUGAAAUGCGUAGAUAUCGGAAGGAACAUCAGUGGCGAAAGCGGCUUCCUGGACCAGCACCGACGUUCAGGCACGAAAGCGUGGGGAGCAAACAGG
This 253-nucleotide ribosomal RNA is filed under the name uncultured bacterium. RNAcentral's name for it is "partial 16S ribosomal RNA". It matches the Rfam family "Bacterial small subunit ribosomal RNA", at positions 524 to 776 of the family's 1533-position model. The record is from RNAcentral.